GACGAACGCUGGCGGCGUGCUUAACACAUGCAAGUCGAACGGAAAGGCCCUGCUUUUGUGGGGUGCUCGAGUGGCGAACGGGUGAGUAACACGUGAGUAACCUGCCCUUGACUUUGGGAUAACUUCAGGAAACUGGGGCUAAUACCGGAUAGGAGCUCCUGCUGCAUGGUGGGGGUUGGAAAGUUUCGGCGGUUGGGGAUGGACUCGCGGCUUAUCAGCUUGUUGGUGGGGUAGUGGCUUACCAAGGCUUUGUCGGGUAGCCGGCCUGAGAGGGUGACCGGCCACAUGGGGACUGAGAUACGGCCCAGACUCCUACGGGAGGCAGCAGUGGGGAAUAUUGCACAAUGGGCGGAAGCCUGAUGCAGCAACGCCGCGUGCGGGAUGACGGCCUUCGGGUUGUAAACCGCUUUCGCCUGUGACGAAGCGUGAGGGACGGUAAUGGGUAAAGAAGCACCGGCUAACUACGU
Molecule: ribosomal RNA, 467 nt
Filed under: uncultured bacterium
Lineage: Bacteria
Description: partial 16S ribosomal RNA
Rfam family: Bacterial small subunit ribosomal RNA
Source: RNAcentral